GACGAACGCUGGCGGCGUGCUUAACACAUGCAAGUCGAACGGAAAGGCCCUGCUUUUGUGGGGUGCUCGAGUGGCGAACGGGUGAGUAACACGUGAGUAACCUGCCCUUGACUUUGGGAUAACUUCAGGAAACUGGGGCUAAUACCGGAUAGGAGCUCCUGCUGCAUGGUGGGGGUUGGAAAGUUUCGGCGGUUGGGGAUGGACUCGCGGCUUAUCAGCUUGUUGGUGGGGUAGUGGCUUACCAAGGCUUUGACGGGUAGCCGGCCUGAGAGGGUGACCGGCCACAUGGGGACUGAGAUACGGCCCAGACUCCUACGAGAGGCAGCAGUGGGGAAUAUUACACAAGGGGCGGAAGCCAGAUGCAGCAGCGCCGCGUGGGGGAUGACGGCCUUCGUGUUGAAAACCGCUUUCGCCUGUGGCGAAGCGUGAGUGACGGUAAUGGGGAAAGAAGCACCGGCUAACUACG
Molecule: ribosomal RNA, 466 nt
Filed under: uncultured bacterium
Lineage: Bacteria
Description: partial 16S ribosomal RNA
Rfam family: Bacterial small subunit ribosomal RNA
Source: RNAcentral